RNAcentral lists this ribosomal RNA (468 nucleotides) under uncultured bacterium. Its description in RNAcentral is "partial 16S ribosomal RNA". It matches the Rfam family "Bacterial small subunit ribosomal RNA", at positions 28 to 507 of the family's 1533-position model. The record is from RNAcentral.
GACGAACGCUGGCGGCGUGCUUAACACAUGCAAGUCGAACGGAAAGGCCCUGCUUUUGUGGGGUGCUCGAGUGGCGAACGGGUGAGUAACACGUGAGUAACCUGCCCUUGACUUUGGGAUAACUUCAGGAAACUGGGGCUAAUACCGGAUAGGAGCUCCUGCUGCAUGGUGGGGGUUGGAAAGUUUCGGCGGUUGGGGAGGGACUCGCGGCUUAUCAGCUUGUUGGUGGGGUAGUGGCCUACCAAGGCUUUGACGGGUAGCCGGCCUGAGAGGGUGACCGGCCACAUUGGGACUGCGAUACGGACCAGACUGCUACGGGGGGCAGCAGUGGGGAAUAUUGCACAGUGGGCGGACGCCUGAUGCAGCAACGCCGCGUGCGGGAUGACGGCCUUCGGGUUGUAAACCGCUUUCGCCUGUGACGAAGCGUGAGUGACGGUAAUGGGUAAAGAAGCACCGGCUAACUACGUG